Ipomoea triloba (trilobed morning glory) is the source of this 1263-nucleotide RNA transcript. It is a transcript of the gene named catalase-like, with no coding region annotated. The record is from RefSeq and is a predicted model, not a curated record. The transcript is spliced from 7 exons. Lineage: Eukaryota; Viridiplantae; Streptophyta; Magnoliopsida; Solanales; Convolvulaceae.
AUAGGAUAACCCUAGCCCACAUAUAAAAUGGAGAAAACGUUUGGCAUUUCAAUCUGGCAAUCUCUCGUUUUACUUUUAUCGCGUUUGGCGAUUUCCGGCGGUGCAGGACCUGCUAGGCGGCCCGUCUUCUCCGGCGAUUUAGGUGGAUUCUCCUCGUGGUUGUCUUCGGCGUAUCCCGGUGGACCUGGGGCAGAAACCUAGACGGCCGGUAGAUUUGGGAUUCAAAAAUUCCCAAAUCGGAGCUAUAAAGUGCGAUCUGGAACAUGCAUGACCAUAUCUGUAAGAUUUGGAACCUAAGAACUGGACAUGCACAGGAGCAAUUCUACUUGAGGAUUAUCACUUGGUGGAGAAGCUUGCUAAUUUUGAUUAUGAAAGGAUUCCAGAAUGUGUUGUACAUGCCAAGGGAGAAAGUGCCAAAGGUUUUUUUGAGGUAUAACUCAUGAUAUUUCUCAUCUGACAUACGCUGAUUUUCUCCGGGCACCAGGUGUACAGAUGCCUGUUAUUGUUUGUUCAGUUCUCCACUGUUAUCUAUGAUUGUGGAAGCCCUGAAACCCUCCGGGAUCCCAGAAGCUUUGCAGUGAAGUUUUAUACCACAGGCCGAGUAAAAAUACCAUAGCAGAUGCAUGCUCACUAUUUCAGUUUCCACUUCAGCUAAGGAAGUUGAUGAGAGAGGUUAUCACACAUGCAUAACAGAACAACAUUUUAGACUCAGAUGUAAGGCACUACAUCAACACAAAGUUUAAAACAACAAUAUGAGAAUGAUAUUAGGAAACAUUGUCCCAUGAAAUUCAGAAUGAUAGUAGGAAACAUCCACUAAGAAUUCUAUUCUUUUUGUAGUCUGCCGUUUGUCAUCAGCUCACCUCCCUCCUGUAAAAGGCUCGUCUUUGGAGUUGUUCCCAAUUCUAGUCCUCAUGGUUACGAUGGAUGCUACUCAUUUUCACUCUUUCCAAAACACAUAUAUAUAUAGGAAAGUUCAUUUUAAAAUCUUCUACUAUAAUAAAGCAGAACCCUAUGAAAAAUAAAAAUAGAUAAAAAGUUCCCGCCUAAAAGAAGCUGCAUCUUGAGUGGAAGGUAAUUAGUGACAGCAGUAAACAUCUAUAAUAAUCGAGCCCACACAAAAUGCAGGCGUUUUAAUUCCUUUUGUCUUGAAACUGAUAUUUAAAUGUCAAAACUUGAAAGCUUGCUUAAAAGCUCUUCUUAUACUUAAACUAUUAUUUAAGUCAUUAAUACAUGUGUGAACACAAAAUGAAUUUAAAUGGGAAA